Molecule: ribosomal RNA, 494 nt
Filed under: uncultured bacterium
Lineage: Bacteria
Description: partial 16S ribosomal RNA
Rfam family: Bacterial small subunit ribosomal RNA
Source: RNAcentral
GACGAACGCUGGCGGCGUGCUUAACACAUGCAAGUCGAACGGAAAGGCCUGCUUUCCCUUGUGGAUUGCGGGUACUCGAGUGGCGAACGGGUGAGUAACACGUGAGUUAUCUGCCCCCAACUUGGGUAUAAGCCUGGGAAACUGGGUCUAAUUCCCGAUAGGACUGCAGGGUGGUGCCUGUGGUGGAAAACGAUUUUCUAGUGGUUGGGGAUGAGCUCGCGGCCUAUCAGCUUGUUGGUGGGGUAAUGGCCUACCAAGGCGGCGACGGGUAGCCGGCCUGAGAGGGUGGACGGCCACAUUGGGACUGAGAUACGGCCCAGACUCCUACGGGAGGCAGCAGUGGGGAAUAUUACACAAUGGGCGGAAGCCUGAUGCAGCGACGCCGCGUGGGGGAUGACGGCCUUCGGGUUGUAAACUCCUUUCGACCGCGAGGAAGCCACCUGGUUGGAAGGGUGGUGACGGUAGUGGUAGAAGAAGCACCGGCUAACUACGUG